Long non-coding RNA from Pan troglodytes (chimpanzee), 2639 nucleotides. RefSeq lists it as uncharacterized. Lineage: Eukaryota; Metazoa; Chordata; Mammalia; Primates; Hominidae. The record is from RefSeq and is a predicted model, not a curated record. The transcript is spliced from 4 exons.
GUGGGGCAGAAAAGGCGGUUUCAGCGCCCCCUGCCAGUCACAGUGCACAGUGCAGGAUGAUUCACCUCAUGGUCAGCAUAAGCCCAGGGUCUCACUCUGUCCCCCAGGAUGAAGUGCAGUGGUGCAAUCACAGUUCACUGCAGCCUCAACCUCCCGGACCCAAGUGAUCCUCCCAUCUCAGCUUUCAAGUACCUGCGAAUCUGGCUGCUCCACUGUUGGGUGCAUAUGUAUUCAGGAUAAGAUCUUGCAUCCCGAACAUACAAGUAAUUCCUGAGGAGUUGGCGGAGCCUCUGCUGACUCCAAGCUGAGCAUCCGAGAACUUCUGGCCCAACAGCACUCAUCAGGAAUCAGUGCAGACUAUUUCUCCCUGGAAGCAGAGGGUCCGAAAAGUUCUGACUAGGCAAAGAGUGACAGUGUGCAUACCAAUUGAAGUUUCCCUCUCCAGCCUGUGCUGACUCAGCUGCCCUCCCUCUCUGCAACCCCGGUAGCAUCUGCCAGACUCCCCUGCACCCUGAGCAGUGGCUUCAGUGUUGGUGACUGUGGGAUACACUGGAGAUGGCAGAAGCCAGGGAGCCCUCCCCAGCAUCUCCUGAGCUACCACUCGCAUUCAAAUAAGCACCAGGGCUCCAGCGUCCCCAGCCCCUUCUUUGGAACCAAAGAUGCCCCUGAAAACGCAGGGAUUCUUCACGUCUCUGGGCCCAGCUAGAGGACAAGGCUACUACUGUAUGCCUGGACCAGUGAUGCUUCUCACAGCGACACAGGCAGGCGGGGAAGUGGGACAAAACCUGCUGGCCCCCCAGAUGCUGGCCCGUCUCUUACUUUGUUGCUGUUAAAAUGUAUCUACACCACUGAUACCGCUUUACAAAUUCAGAAUUUUUUUCCAGUUAAUUUUUGUUUGUUUACUAAGUAUGAAGACUCAAAUGACCAAAACACUUUUCAAACCAACACAACUAUACACAGACAUAAUCUCAGAGGAAUUUCUGCUGCUACAUUACCUGUGGCUCUAGAACUCACAUCCAGAGGGCAGCCUAUAAGGAAUUGUGUCCAGUCUGCAAGUGAGCAGACCUGUCAUCCUCCCCCUAGGAGGCUACCUCUUGCCCCAGAGACUCCAUGGCGGCCCCAAGGAGACCCCUGCUCUCCCUCCAGGGACUGUAGCGGAGACGGCACCAGGCCUUGUUCAGAACAUUCUGGGAAGUGCAUCACUCAAGAUUACAAUUCAGUUGUGGGGAAAUUGUCACUGCAGGGGUUAAAAAUGACAGCUUCUUCGGGUCUUGCAAAGUAGCUUUGUUACUUGUAACAGACGUAUACAUAGAACCUUUGUACAACCUAGAAUGACUUUUUCCAAAGACUGUUACCUAUUUCAAGGUAGAAUCGUUGGAACUUACUGAACAACAGUGGAAAACACAACUACACAGCCUAAUUGAGGGGAGAGGGCUACUGUCUACUUAUUGGUAACUGGACAUGGGUAAAAGGACAAGGUCUAUCAUCUUUUUAGGGACCUGUUUUAUAUGCCCCAACCCUGUCCCCAUCUUUUUUUUUUUAAUGUCCUUAAAAUAGGAACAACAAAAAACUAGGGUUGUAGAAUUAUAAAAUUGCUUCAACCUUAGAACCUUAAGUAGGAGGCCCUCAAAUGGACUUAUGUUAGUCCUUAGGGAGUCAAUGUGUGUGUUGCUGCUUCUUUACAGUUCAGUUGGAGCCCCGAGAGUGCCAAUGUUUUCCCCACACCUCUUAGAUGCCUUCCGCUUCCCAAACCCCAGAAGAGGUGGGCACCUGAGUGGGGAAUCUCAGGUGACUUAGUUUGCCAGUGCCUACUCUAUUGAAGAAUGGGGUUUUCAUGCUCGAGAAGAAACUCGUGGAAGGGCGUGUUUCCCAUCACAGGUUCACAUACUGAUUGUUUUUGUUGAAUUUCCUUGUGCGACUUAUGCCAAGUAAUUAUGAAGAUUUUUUGUUUCGUUUUGUUUUCUUGCUGAAUAUUUCAUGAAGGCUACGAAGUUAGAACAGGCACGUCCUGGGUGAGAAAGCUUUAAUUUAUCUACCUCAUUUAUUUUUUAUUUUUUGUAGCCAUAUUGUCUAUUUUCCUAUUUCAAGACCGCUGAAGUAUUCCCAGGCCCUGUCUAAAACCUAAGAGUUGAUGUAUUGGUGGGAAGAGGUGAACGUUCAAGAUGAUUUUGUGAUGCCUUUUUUUUGUCGUUUCCUUUUGUAUAUGUGAUAUUGAGCAAACGAAACAUUGCUCUUCGUUUAACAAGAAAGGUUUAACAAGAAAGAAAGAAAAAAACUCUAACUUCUGGGAGAAAAGUCUUUCCUCUGUAUGUGGAAGGUCCUGACGGAAAUAUGCAUCCAAGACGAUUAGCCAAAGUGUUGUCCCUUCAUCGUUGCACCUGACAUUAGGAUUCCGCCCCGCUCUUUUUUUUUUGCCAACUUGUGCCUUUCCUUCUGGAAUUGAAGUGAACAUGAUAAUAGUACCUGUUUAUACUGUGAAGUGGAUAUUGUUACAGAAAGCACACCAGUGGCUUUCUCACUGUUGAGCUAAUAAUGCCUUGUGAAUGUAUGAUCUACGGAGAAACCCCUGUAGUUGUACCUGCUGAUGCUGUCUGUCUGUUGGAAAAUAAAUUUUGAAUUUUUUUUUCUCAAAAAAAAAA